This is a long non-coding RNA of Peromyscus californicus insignis, 2439 nucleotides long. RefSeq lists it as uncharacterized. The transcript is spliced from 3 exons. NCBI's taxonomy places the organism in Eukaryota, Metazoa, Chordata, Mammalia, Rodentia, Cricetidae. The record is from RefSeq and is a predicted model, not a curated record.
UUCCACCUACAGCAAACAAACAAACAAAUACAAAAUGAUUUCUUUCUUUCUCUUAGAAAAAAAACAGGCAAACAAACAACUCUCCAAACCAGGAUAAACAAACAAACAAACAACAAAAAAGAAAAAGCACAAGAAACACACAUAUACACAGAUAUACAUAUACACAAAAACAAAACUCGUAAAGACACAGAAUUGGAAACCAUACUAUACAGACCAAAGACCAGUAAGACAAAAAUUGCCCAAAACAAAGCAAUAGGAGCCAAAAAAUCUAUAGAAUACCCUAGAGUUCGUUUUGUGUUUACCAUCUACUUCUGUGUGUGGAACCCACCCUUAAGUGUGGUUUGUACACCCAGUGAGACUCCCUUGGAGAGAUUAAUUUUUCCUUUGCAAGUGGUUGUCAGUUGGAGUCAGCUUCUUGGUUAGGAAUGGGAGAUGGUGUCCACUUCUCCCUCUGAGCACUGGGACCCCAUCUGGCUUAGAUCUGUGUAGACCUUGUAUACGCUAUCACGGUCUCUGUGAGUUCAUAUGUCUGUCGGACCUGUUUUGCCUGGAAGGCAUUGUUUCCUUGGUGUCUUCCACCUCCUCUAGCUCUUACAAUCUUUCUGUCUCCUUGUCCACAAAGUUUCCUGAGCUCUGAAGGGAGAGGUUUGAUGGAGAUAAUCGGUUUAUAACUGGCUGUUCCAAGGUCUCUCAUUCUCUGCACAUUGUCCAGUUGUGGCUCUCUGAAUUUGUUCCCAUAAACUCCAGGAGGAAGCUUCUUUGAAGAUGGCUGAGGAAGACACUGAUCUCUGGGUAUGUUGCUACGAGUCAUUAUAUUGCUAUAUUUCUUUAGCAGAACAACAGUGUUUGGUUUUCCCGCAGGUCCGUGGCCUAUCUAGUCCCAGGUUCUUGACCUCCUGAGCAGUGUCAGAUCCAGAUGUAGAACUUUCAAGCUACUUCUCCAGCCCCAUGUCUGCCUGCAAGCUGCCAUGCUUCCUGCCAAGAUGACAACGGACUAAACCUCUGACAUUGCAUUCAUCCUAAAGAACCAUUGGUCUGAUCUGAAGAAGUCCCUGCUCUCUGCUACACCCUCGAUGCCGGGCCCAGUGUCUCUUCCUGGACAUCCUGUUGCUGCUCUGUGUCAUGGAGAUCCUGCAGCCCUGGACCUGCAGGACCUGCUCCCCAUGCUCCAGCAGAUCACAGAUGGGGUGGAUGUUGGGGUGGGCUAUCACAUAACCCUGGUCCUGGGCUGGGGUAGUUUCAGGGUUGGUCAGCCUGCCAGCUCUCCCCUGUCUUCACCACCAGGCUGAGCUCUCCAGCAUUGCCCUGGCUAGUUCACCUCUUGGAGCAAUGUACAAGAUGUGCAAGGGGCGGGGCCAGUUCUUCUGCUUUCUCACCCUCAGGGUUGGGUGUACCUACACCUUCAGGGCCAGCUCUACUGUGUUGCCCAGGCAAGGUGCAGGGGCCACUCUUCUGAGUGCUGAUAAGGGGCAGGGACAGUUCUCUUGCUCUUGUGACCUCAGGGCCAGCUCUUCUACCUGCCUCAGGUGAUGAUGGGUUGGGGGGAUUCUCUCCCCUAUCGGUGCUACCACAUGACAGAUGAGUAAUGGGGUCAGCUCUCCCAGGCUCACAACAUUGGGUUGGCUCACCCACACCUCCAUCAAAAGGGUCAGCUUUACUGUGCUGCCUAGGCGAGGUGCAGGGUCUACUUUCCAGAGUCCUACACCUGUAAGGCGGAGGGUCAGCUUGCUCAUCUGUGGCAUGUGAUGAGGGGCGAAGUGUAAGGGGGGCAUCUCUCCCUCACCCACAUAGCUGUAUUACAGACAAGUAGUGGGGACAGCUCUUCCAUGCUCACAACUCCCGGGCUGGCUCACCCACACGUCAGCCAAUAGGGUUGGCUCUAUUGUGCUGCCGAGGCAAGGUGCAGGACCUGCUCUUCAGAGUGUUGCAGCUGGUUGGGGGCAGGGACAGCUCUCCUGCUCUUAUGACAUCAGGGUCAGCUCUCCCACCUGCCUGAGGCAUUGAUGGGGGGGCAUCUCCCUCCCCCAUGCCACCAUAUGGCAGAUGAGGGGUGGAACUAGGUCUCCCAUGCUCAUGUUCUCAGGGUUGGCUCCCCUGUGCUCUCGUCAAUAGGGUCAGCUCUGUUGUGCUGUCCAGAUGAGGUGCGAGGCCCGCUUGCCCAAGUGUUGCAGCUGAUAAAUGGGUCAGCUCCCUCACCAGCUGAGGACAGUAGGGGCAAGAGGAGGAGGACAUCUUUCCUUCAUCUCCACCACUGCACGGAAGAUGAGAGAGGCCAUGGCAGUUAUGCCCCUCUCACGCCGUUAGGGCUGGCUCACCUGUGCCUCUGUCUACAGGGUCAACUGUACUGUGCUGCCCAGAUGAUGAGCAGGAUCUCUUCUCCUGAGUGCUGCAGCUGCUGGUGAGGGGUUGGGUCAGGUCCCCCAUCUACUGCAGGUGUUG